This 448-nucleotide ribosomal RNA is filed under the name uncultured bacterium. RNAcentral describes it as "bacterial SSU rRNA". It matches the Rfam family "Bacterial small subunit ribosomal RNA", at positions 355 to 825 of the family's 1533-position model. The record is from RNAcentral.
UGGGGAAUAUUGGACAAUGGGCGAAAGCCUGAUCCAGCCAUGCCGCGUGAGUGAUGAAGGCCUUAGGGUUGUAAUGCUCUUUUUGGCGGGGACGAUAAUGACGGUACCCGCAGAAUAAGCCCCGGCUAACUUCGUGCCAGCAGCCGCGGUAAUACGAAGGGGGCUAGCGUUGUUCGGAAUUACUGGGCGUAAAGCGCACGUAGGCGGAUCAGCAAGUCAGGGGUGAAAUCCCGGGGCUCAACCUCGGAACUGCCUCUGAUACUGCUAGUCUAGAGUCCGGAAGAGGUGGGUGGAAUUCCUAGUGUAGAGGUGAAAUUCGCAGAUAUUAGGAAGAACACCGGUGGCGAAGGCGGCCCACUGGUCCGGUACUGACGCUGAGGUGCGAAAGCGUGGGGAGCAAACAGGAUUAGAUACCCUCGUAGUCCCUGAGCGGGCUGGCAAGGCGCAU